UUGAGCGGGGGACAACAUUUGGAAACGAAUGCUAAUACCGCAUAACAACUUUAAACACAAGUUUUAAGUUUGAAAGAUGCAAUUGCAUCACUCAAAGAUGACCCCGCGUUGUAUUAGCUAGUUGGUGAGGUAAAGGCUCACAAGGCGAUGAUACAUAGCCGACCUGAGAGGGUGAUCGGCCACAUUGGGACUGAGACACGGCCCAAACUCCUACGGGAGGCAGCAGUAGGGAAUCUUCGGCAAUGGACGAAAGUCUGACCGAGCAACGCCGCGUGAGUGAAGAAGGUUUUCGGAUCGUAAAACUCUGUUGGUAGAGAAGAACGUUGGUGAGAGUGGAAAGCUCAUCAAGUGACGGUAACUACCCAGAAAGGGACGGCUAACUACGUGCCAGCAGCCGCGGUAAUACGUAGGUCCCGAGCGUUGUCCGGAUUUAUUGGGCGUAAAGCGAGCGCAGGUGGUUUAUUAAGUCUGGUGUAAAAGGCAGUGGCUCAACCAUUGUAUGCAUUGGAAACUGGUAGACUUGAGUGCAGGAGAGGAGAGUGGAAUUCCAUGUGUAGCGGUGAAAUGCGUAGAUAUAUGGAGGAACACCGGUGGCGAAAGCGGCUCUCUGGCCUGUAACUGACACUGAGGCUCGAAAGCGUGGGGAGCAAACAGGAUUAGAUACCCUGGUAGUCCACGCCGUAAAAGAUGAGUGCUAGAUGUAGGGAGCUAUAAGUUCUCUGUAUCGCAGCUA
Molecule: ribosomal RNA, 733 nt
Filed under: Lactococcus lactis
Lineage: Bacteria; Bacillati; Bacillota; Bacilli; Lactobacillales; Streptococcaceae
Description: bacterial SSU rRNA
Rfam family: Bacterial small subunit ribosomal RNA
Source: RNAcentral